RNAcentral lists this non-coding RNA (29 nucleotides) under Cricetulus griseus (Chinese hamster). The record is from RNAcentral. Lineage: Eukaryota; Metazoa; Chordata; Mammalia; Rodentia; Cricetidae.
ACAUGGCUUGGACUUUCUCACCCUGGGGC